GACGAACGCUGGCGGCGUGCUUAACACAUGCAAGUCGAACGGAAAGGCCCUGCUUUUGUGGGGUGCUCGAGUGGCGAACGGGUGAGUAACACGUGAGUAACCUGCCCUUGACUUUGGGAUAACUUCAGGAAAUUGGGGCUAAUACCGGAUAGGAGCUCCUGCUGCAUGGUGGGGGUUGGAAAGUUUCGGCGGUUGGGGAUGGACUCGCGGCUUAUCAGCUUGUUGGUGGGGUAGUGGCUUACCAAGGCUUUGACGGGUAGCCGGCCUGAGAGGGUGACCGGCCACAAUGGGACUGAGAUACGGCCCAGACUCCUACAGGAGGCAGCAGUGGGGAAUAUUGCACAAUGGGCGGAAGCCUGAUGCAGCAACGCCGCGUGCGGGAUGACGGCCUUCGGGUUGUAAACCGCUUUCGCCUGUGACGAAGCGUGAGUGACGGUAAUGGGUAAAGAAGCACCGGCUAACUACGUG
Molecule: ribosomal RNA, 468 nt
Filed under: uncultured bacterium
Lineage: Bacteria
Description: partial 16S ribosomal RNA
Rfam family: Bacterial small subunit ribosomal RNA
Source: RNAcentral